RNAcentral lists this ribosomal RNA (2931 nucleotides) under Escherichia coli O145. Its description in RNAcentral is "23S ribosomal RNA". It matches the Rfam family "Bacterial large subunit ribosomal RNA". The record is from RNAcentral. Lineage: Bacteria; Pseudomonadati; Pseudomonadota; Gammaproteobacteria; Enterobacterales; Enterobacteriaceae.
GGGUUGUGAGGUUAAGCGACUAAGCGUACACGGUGGAUGCCCUGGCAGUCAGAGGCGAUGAAGGACGUGCUAAUCUGCGAUAAGCGUCGGUAAGGUGAUAUGAACCGUUAUAACCGGCGAUUUCCGAAUGGGGAAACCCAGUGUGUUUCGACACACUAUCAUUAACUGAAUCCAUAGGUUAAUGAGGCGAACCGGGGGAACUGAAACAUCUAAGUACCCCGAGGAAAAGAAAUCAACCGAGAUUCCCCCAGUAGCGGCGAGCGAACGGGGAGCAGCCCAGAGCCUGAAUCAGUGUGUGUGUUAGUGGAAGCGUCUGGAAAGGCGCGCGAUACAGGGUGACAGCCCCGUACACAAAAAUGCACAUACUGUGAGCUCGAUGAGUAGGGCGGGACACGUGGUAUCCUGUCUGAAUAUGGGGGGACCAUCCUCCAAGGCUAAAUACUCCUGACUGACCGAUAGUGAACCAGUACCGUGAGGGAAAGGCGAAAAGAACCCCGGCGAGGGGAGUGAAAAAGAACCUGAAACCGUGUACGUACAAGCAGUGGGAGCACGCUUCGGCGUGUGACUGCGUACCUUUUGUAUAAUGGGUCAGCGACUUAUAUUCUGUAGCAAGGUUAACCGAAUAGGGGAGCCGAAGGGAAACCGAGUCUUAACUGGGCGUUAAGUUGCAGGGUAUAGACCCGAAACCCGGUGAUCUAGCCAUGGGCAGGUUGAAGGUUGGGUAACACUAACUGGAGGACCGAACCGACUAAUGUUGAAAAAUUAGCGGAUGACUUGUGGCUGGGGGUGAAAGGCCAAUCAAACCGGGAGAUAGCUGGUUCUCCCCGAAAGCUAUUUAGGUAGCGCCUCGUGAAUUCAUCUCCGGGGGUAGAGCACUGUUUCGGCAAGGGGGUCAUCCCGACUUACCAACCCGAUGCAAACUGCGAAUACCGGAGAAUGUUAUCACGGGAGACACACGGCGGGUGCUAACGUCCGUCGUGAAGAGGGAAACAACCCAGACCGCCAGCUAAGGUCCCAAAGUCAUGGUUAAGUGGGAAACGAUGUGGGAAGGCCCAGACAGCCAGGAUGUUGGCUUAGAAGCAGCCAUCAUUUAAAGAAAGCGUAAUAGCUCACUGGUCGAGUCGGCCUGCGCGGAAGAUGUAACGGGGCUAAACCAUGCACCGAAGCUGCGGCAGCGACACUAUGUGUUGUUGGGUAGGGGAGCGUUCUGUAAGCCUGUGAAGGUGUGCUGUGAGGCAUGCUGGAGGUAUCAGAAGUGCGAAUGCUGACAUAAGUAACGAUAAAGCGGGUGAAAAGCCCGCUCGCCGGAAGACCAAGGGUUCCUGUCCAACGUUAAUCGGGGCAGGGUGAGUCGACCCCUAAGGCGAGGCCGAAAGGCGUAGUCGAUGGGAAACAGGUUAAUAUUCCUGUACUUGGUGUUACUGCGAAGGGGGGACGGAGAAGGCUAUGUUGGCCGGGCGACGGUUGUCCCGGUUUAAGCGUGUAGGCUGGUUUUCCAGGCAAAUCCGGAAAAUCAAGGCUGAGGCGUGAUGACGAGGCACUACGGUGCUGAAGCAACAAAUGCCCUGCUUCCAGGAAAAGCCUCUAAGCAUCAGGUAACAUUAAAUCGUACCCCAAACCGACACAGGUGGUCAGGUAGAGAAUACCAAGGCGCUUGAGAGAACUCGGGUGAAGGAACUAGGCAAAAUGGUGCCGUAACUUCGGGAGAAGGCACGCUGAUAUGUAGGUGAAGUCCCUCGCGGAUGGAGCUGAAAUCAGUCGAAGAUACCAGCUGGCUGCAACUGUUUAUUAAAAACACAGCACUGUGCAAACACGAAAGUGGACGUAUACGGUGUGACGCCUGCCCGGUGCCGGAAGGUUAAUUGAUGGGGUUAGCGGUAACGCGAAGCUCUUGAUCGAAGCCCCGGUAAACGGCGGCCGUAACUAUAACGGUCCUAAGGUAGCGAAAUUCCUUGUCGGGUAAGUUCCGACCUGCACGAAUGGCGUAAUGAUGGCCAGGCUGUCUCCACCCGAGACUCAGUGAAAUUGAACUCGCUGUGAAGAUGCAGUGUACCCGCGGCAAGACGGAAAGACCCCGUGAACCUUUACUAUAGCUUGACACUGAACAUUGAGCCUUGAUGUGUAGGAUAGGUGGGAGGCUUUGAAGUGUGGACGCCAGUCUGCAUGGAGCCGACCUUGAAAUACCACCCUUUAAUGUUUGAUGUUCUAACGUUGACCCGUAAUCCGGGUUGCGGACAGUGUCUGGUGGGUAGUUUGACUGGGGCGGUCUCCUCUUAAAGAGUAACGGAGGAGCACGAAGGUUGGCUAAUCCUGGUCGGACAUCAGGAGGUUAGUGCAAUGGCAUAAGCCAGCUUGACUGCGAGCGUGACGGCGCGAGCAGGUGCGAAAGCAGGUCAUAGUGAUCCGGUGGUUCUGAAUGGAAGGGCCAUCGCUCAACGGAUAAAAGGUACUCCGGGGAUAACAGGCUGAUACCGCCCAAGAGUUCAUAUCGACGGCGGUGUUUGGCACCUCGAUGUCGGCUCAUCACAUCCUGGGGCUGAAGUAGGUCCCAAGGGUAUGGCUGUUCGCCAUUUAAAGUGGUACGCGAGCUGGGUUUAGAACGUCGUGAGACAGUUCGGUCCCUAUCUGCCGUGGGCGCUGGAGAACUGAGGGGGGCUGCUCCUAGUACGAGAGGACCGGAGUGGACGCAUCACUGGUGUUCGGGUUGUCAUGCCAAUGGCACUGCCCGGUAGCUAAAUGCGGAAGAGAUAAGUGCUGAAAGCAUCUAAGCACGAAACUUGCCCCGAGAUGAGUUCUCCCUGACUCCUUGAGAGUCCUGAAGGAACGUUGAAGACGACGACGUUGAUAGGCCGGGUGUGUAAGCGCAGCGAUGCGUUGAGCUAACCGGUACUAAUGAACCGUGAGGCUUAACCUUACAACGCCGAAGCUGUU